Molecule: ribosomal RNA, 253 nt
Filed under: uncultured bacterium
Lineage: Bacteria
Description: partial 16S ribosomal RNA
Rfam family: Bacterial small subunit ribosomal RNA
Source: RNAcentral
UACGGGGGGGGCAAGCGUUGUUCGGAAUUACUGGGCGUAAAGGGUUCGUAGGUGGCUCGCUAAGUCAGACGUGAAAUCCCUCAGCUUAACUGGGGAACUGCGUCUGAGACUGGCAAGCUCGAGUGCAGGAGAGGAACGCGGAAUUCCAGGUGUAGCGGUGAAAUGCGUAGAUAUCUGGAGGAACACCGGUGGCGAAGGCGGCGUUCUGGACUGCAUCUGACACUGAGGAACGAAAGCCAGGGGAGCAAACGGG